GAAAAAGAAGACAGUUUUAAUUUAUAAAGCUCAAAGAUAAAUCAGAAUUCAAAUUUAGAAGUAAGAGAUGCAAGAAGAUUUGAAUGAGUCUACACGAGGCACCCCUUUAAAUCCUCAGAAGCUGCUCUCAUCUCUGUCCCCAAAGAUUCCAGAUCGAGGCCUACAAAAUGGAGAUGUCCUGAUCGCAAUCGAACAACAGUGUCUAUUGCAGCCUGCAUUUCACUACCUCCUUUAUUGCUUACGACGAUCACCUGCAUGCUAUGAAUACAACAUAAGGAAAGACCUGCUGUU
Molecule: long non-coding RNA, 291 nt
Organism: Crotalus tigris (Tiger rattlesnake)
Lineage: Eukaryota; Metazoa; Chordata; Lepidosauria; Squamata; Viperidae
Exons: 3
Source: RefSeq, a predicted model, not a curated record